RNAcentral lists this ribosomal RNA (353 nucleotides) under uncultured bacterium. RNAcentral describes it as "partial 16S ribosomal RNA". It matches the Rfam family "Bacterial small subunit ribosomal RNA", at positions 338 to 688 of the family's 1533-position model. The record is from RNAcentral.
CCUACGGGUGGCAGCAGUGAGGAAUAUUAGUCAAUGGACGAGAGUCUGAACCAGCCAAGUAGCGUGAAGGAUGACUGCCCUAUGGGUUGUAAACUUCUUUUAUAAAGGAAUAAAACGAGGCACGUGUGCCUUUUUGCAUGUACUUUAUGAAUAAGGAUAGGCCAACUCCGUGACAGCCGCCGCGGUAAUACGGUGGAUCCGAGUGUUAUCCUGAUGUGUUGGGGUUAAAGGGAGCGUGGGUGGGGUGUGAAGUCAGGUGUGGAAGUUGAGGGGUCAACCGUACAAUGGCAAUUGAUAGUGGCAGUCUGGAGUACAGUUGAGGUAGGCGGAAUUCGUGGUGUAGCGGUGAAAUG